Molecule: ribosomal RNA, 482 nt
Filed under: uncultured bacterium
Lineage: Bacteria
Description: partial 16S ribosomal RNA
Rfam family: Bacterial small subunit ribosomal RNA
Source: RNAcentral
GACGAACGCUGGCGGCGUGCUUAACACAUGCAAGUCGAACGAUGAAGAAGAGAAACGCGAACUUCGGUUCAAAUUUCACUUCGGAUUAGUGGCAGACGGGUGAGUAACGCGUGAGCAACCUACCUCUUACAAAGGGAUAGCCUCGGGAAACCGUGAUUAAUACCAUAUGACACAUUCAUAAGGCAUCUUAAGAAUGUUAAAGCUACGGCGGUAAGAGAUGGGCUCGCGUCCCAUUAGCUAGUUGGUGAGGUAACGGCCCACCAAGGCGACGAUGGGUAACCGGCCUGAGAGGCUGAACGGUCACAUUGGAACUGGGACACGGUCCAAACUCCUACGGGAGGCAGCAGUGGGGAAUAUUGCACAAUGGAGGGAACUCUGAUGCAGCGACGCCGCGUGAGCGAUGAAGGAAUUCGUUUCGUAAAGCUCUGUUCUAUGGGAAGAAAAGGACUGUACCAUAGGAGAAAGCCCCGGCUAAAUACGUG